CGUUGAUAGGCAGGGUGUGUAAGCGCUGUGAGGCGUUGAGCUAACCUGUACUAAUUGCCCGUGAGGCUUAACCAUACAACACCCAAAGGGUUUUG
This 95-nucleotide ribosomal RNA is filed under the name Vibrio vulnificus. Its description in RNAcentral is "partial 23S ribosomal RNA". The stretch from base 1 to 75 matches the Rfam family "Bacterial large subunit ribosomal RNA", at positions 2851 to 2925 of the family's 2925-position model. The record is from RNAcentral. Lineage: Bacteria; Pseudomonadati; Pseudomonadota; Gammaproteobacteria; Vibrionales; Vibrionaceae.